This 216-nucleotide ribosomal RNA is filed under the name Delftia acidovorans. RNAcentral describes it as "partial 16S ribosomal RNA". It matches the Rfam family "Bacterial small subunit ribosomal RNA", at positions 1241 to 1456 of the family's 1533-position model. The record is from RNAcentral. Lineage: Bacteria; Pseudomonadati; Pseudomonadota; Betaproteobacteria; Burkholderiales; Comamonadaceae.
AGAGGGUUGCCAACCCGCGAGGGGGAGCUAAUCCCAUAAAACCAGUCGUAGUCCGGAUCGCAGUCUGCAACUCGACUGCGUGAAGUCGGAAUCGCUAGUAAUCGCGGAUCAGCAUGCCGCGGUGAAUACGUUCCCGGGUCUUGUACACACCGCCCGUCACACCAUGGGAGCGGGUCUCGCCAGAAGUAGGUAGCCUAACCGCAAGGAGGGCGCUUA